AAUCAACGCUGGCGGCGUGCCUAACACAUGCAAGUCGAACGCGAAAGGGGCUUCGGCCCUGAGUAGAGUGGCGAACGGGUGAGUAACACGUGGGUGAUCUACCUUCGAGUGGGGGAUAACGUCCCGAAAGGGACGCUAAUACCGCAUGACGUUCCGGGUUUAAAGACCUGGAAACCAAAGCCGGGGACCGCAAGGCCUGGCGCUUGAAGAGGAGCCCGCGUCCGAUUAGCUAGUUGGCGGGGUAAUGGCCCACCAAGGCGACGAUCGGUAGCCGGCCUGAGAGGGCGGACGGCCACACUGGAACUGAGACACGGUCCAGACUCCUACGGGAGGCAGCAGUGGGGAAUUGUUCACAAUGGGCGCAAGCCUGAUGACGCAACGCCGCGUGGGGGAUGAAGGUCUUCGGAUUGUAAACCCCUGUCGAACGGGACGCAAGACUCGCGAGCUAAUCAUCGCGAGAGUGACGGUACCGUUAAAGGAAGCCACGGCUAACUCUGUGC
RNAcentral lists this ribosomal RNA (500 nucleotides) under uncultured bacterium. RNAcentral's name for it is "bacterial SSU rRNA". It matches the Rfam family "Bacterial small subunit ribosomal RNA", at positions 29 to 508 of the family's 1533-position model. The record is from RNAcentral.